GUAGGGAAUAUUGCGCAAUGGACGAAAGUCUGACGCAGCGACGCCGCGUGAGUGAUGAAGGCCUUAGGGUCGUAAAGCUCUGUUGAAUGGGAAGAAAAAAAUGACGGUACCAUUCGAGGAAGGACCGGCUAACUUCGUGCCAGCAGCCGCGGUAAUACGAGGGGUCCUAGCGUUGUUAGGAAUCAUUGGGCGUAAAGGGUGUGUAGGUGGCCAUGUAAGUCAGGUGUGAAAGCCCCGGGCUCAACCCGGGAAGUGCACUUGAUACUGCUGGGCUUGAGUACCGAAGAGGGUAGUGGAAUUCCAGGUGUAGUGGUGAAAUACGUAGAUAUCUGGAGGAACACCGGUGGCGAAGGCGGCUACCUGGUCGAGUACUGACACUGAGACACGAAAGCAUGGGGAUCAAACAGGAUUAGAUACCCCAGUAGUCC
RNAcentral lists this ribosomal RNA (428 nucleotides) under uncultured bacterium. RNAcentral describes it as "partial 16S ribosomal RNA". It matches the Rfam family "Bacterial small subunit ribosomal RNA", at positions 354 to 796 of the family's 1533-position model. The record is from RNAcentral.